Conger conger (European conger) is the source of this 419-nucleotide long non-coding RNA. RefSeq lists it as uncharacterized. Lineage: Eukaryota; Metazoa; Chordata; Actinopteri; Anguilliformes; Congridae. The record is from RefSeq and is a predicted model, not a curated record. The transcript has 2 exons.
CCUUUUUCGGAUAAGAUUCUGAUAGGACUCCCCCGGCUUUGGGUGUCUGCCCUUCCGGACGAUCCAGAUGUUUCUGGUCAUUUUGGGACUUGUGGCAGGCCGAAUUGGGAGGAGAGCCACAGCCUGGAGUGUGUCAGUCAACACCCUGCUCCUGUGCUCCUGCCUGCCUACCCAUCUCCGUUCAAGCCCUGCUCCAGCCCUUCCCCCUCCUGUUCUCCUGCCCCGCUGACUGAUCUCCCAGUUCCGGCUCCUGCCUGUUCCUGGACUUCGCCCUGCCCUCUCAGCAUUGCUCUGGUUUACUUGGACUUUGACCCCCAGCCUGGGCUUGACUGCGACUCUGCCUACCCUGUAUUGCUCAUUGACAUUGACAUCGACCCGUUUUCGCUCACUUUGAUUAAAGCCUGUUAUAGCCUGCUACA